Long non-coding RNA from Prionailurus viverrinus (fishing cat), 689 nucleotides. RefSeq lists it as uncharacterized. The transcript is spliced from 4 exons. NCBI's taxonomy places the organism in Eukaryota, Metazoa, Chordata, Mammalia, Carnivora, Felidae. The record is from RefSeq and is a predicted model, not a curated record.
GGGACGGAGACCCCGCCCCUCAGAACCAGCUCUGGCCGGUCCGCGGCCUCCGACCCACCUGUACCGCUCUUCUGGACACCUCCGCCCCCCUUCAAAAGUUUGGACCAUUUCAUCGCUCUUCUAGUGAGUAUCACCAGGUUCCCCUCCUCUCUUGAUGGGGGUCAGGAUCCGGCCUCACUCCCUGCCACACACUUUGUCACAACUGCCUGAAGAGCAGCAUGGCCUUGGCUCUGAUGCCCCCGCAGGAAACCCAGGCCACAGGACACGUGCACUUGGGCUUGAGCGUGAUGGCGGUACCCCUGGCAGGUGUAUUGGGGCCAGAUGACACGGGAGGACGGGCAUCCUGUGUGGGGACAAGCGAGAACCCCGUUUUUGUGCCGACGGAGCAGGCCUCUGUGACAAAGAACCACAGCCCGGCCGCUAGACAGCACCCGUGCUCACGUAGUCUUGGAGCCUGCAGGUCCGAGGGCUGGUUCCCAAUGCGCCAUUCUCCUGGGCUGGAUCUCCAAAUGCAGUCACAUUCAAAAAUAUUUCUACUGCUGAGAAAUGAAAGCACUGACAACUCUGGGACUUCAGGGGCGCCUGGGGGGCUCAGCUGGGUGUCCGACUGCGGCUCAAGUCAUGGUCACAUGGUUCGUGAGUUCAAGCCCCGCGUCAGACUCUGUGCUGACAGCUCGGAGCCCGGAACU